UCUCUGAAUCUCAUCUGAGUGUGUAAACCAUUCUCUGCUAGGGCCAGGGAUUUAGCUCAGUGGUUCUGCCGCCUGCCUCACAAGUGCAAGGUCCCAAGUUUGAUCCCUGGUACUAAAAAAAAAAAAAAUUACACUCUAAUAAACCAUUCUCUGCUUGACUGGGCUCUUCCAUUUCCAAGUGCCCGGGUUUUCAUUUAACAGUUCAAACCUAACUGCGCCAUGGCUGUGAGCAGCAUCUGGCCUCUCACUCUCCUUCUGCUGCAGGUCAGGAUUGUUGUGGUUUAACCAUCAUUCUUGGCAGUGGAAGGAGUCACCCCAGAGCAAAACCCCAUGCUGCCCCUGGAGCCCACAAAAGUUCAUUGCUCCCCUGUGGCCCAUGCUGCCAGGCCAGGCUGCUGAUUCUUGCUGGAUUUGCCAACCCCAGGUACUCACCCUGCAUGUGCAGCGGUAGCCUCUCCAAGGUGCUCCUUAUCCCAUGUCUUCAGAGCUUUGGAUAUUUCUACCUCACCAAUAGCACUAAAGAAUUGGAAAUCUGAUCCAGGGAAUGGGCAGAAUGAACCAGAUUAAAUCUUUGUUUACAAAUUAAAAG
This 589-nucleotide long non-coding RNA is filed under the name Fukomys damarensis (Damara mole-rat). Its description in RNAcentral is "lncRNA (ENSFDAG00000027315.1)". Lineage: Eukaryota; Metazoa; Chordata; Mammalia; Rodentia; Bathyergidae. The record is from RNAcentral.